UGAGUUUGUUGCGUAUUUAUGCCCAUUAUUGUAAUAAUUAAAAACAAUAGUGGUAGAGUUGGUUGCGCAUUUUUGUUGACUAUUAUAAUAAGUACAACACUACUGGUUGAAUUUGUUGUUUCAGUUUGUUAUUUAUUUAU
Long non-coding RNA from Thalassophryne amazonica, 140 nucleotides. RefSeq lists it as uncharacterized. Lineage: Eukaryota; Metazoa; Chordata; Actinopteri; Batrachoidiformes; Batrachoididae. The transcript has 3 exons. The record is from RefSeq and is a predicted model, not a curated record.